This 428-nucleotide ribosomal RNA is filed under the name uncultured bacterium. RNAcentral's name for it is "bacterial SSU rRNA". It matches the Rfam family "Bacterial small subunit ribosomal RNA", at positions 355 to 776 of the family's 1533-position model. The record is from RNAcentral.
UGGGGAAUCUUGCGCAAUGGGCGAAAGCCUGACGCAGCGACGCCGCGUGAGUGAAGAAGGCCUUAGGGUUGUAAAGCUCUGUCAAGGGGGACGAAAACCUGUCGGUGCAUAGCCGGCAGACUGACGGUACCCCUGGAGGAAGCACCGGCUAACUCUGUGCCAGCAGCCGCGGUAAUACAGAGGGUGCAAGCGUUGCUCGGAAUUAUUGGGCGUAAAGGGCGGGUAGGUGGUCUUGUUUGUCGGGGGUGAAAUCCCUGGGCUUAACCCAGGAAGUGCCUUCGAAACGGCAGGACUAGAGUAUUGGCGAGGGUCGUGGAAUUCCCGGUGUAGCGGUGAAAUGCGUAGAGAUCGGGAGGAACACCAGAGGCGAAGGCGGCGACCUGGACAAUCACUGACACUAAACCGCGAAAGCGUGGGGAGCAAACAGG